RNAcentral lists this ribosomal RNA (253 nucleotides) under uncultured bacterium. RNAcentral's name for it is "partial 16S ribosomal RNA". It matches the Rfam family "Bacterial small subunit ribosomal RNA", at positions 524 to 776 of the family's 1533-position model. The record is from RNAcentral.
UACGGAGGGUGCAAGCGUUAUCCGGAUUCACUGGGUUUAAAGGGUGCGUAGGUGGGUAUGUAAGUCAGUGGUGAAAUCCCCGAGCUUAACUUGGGAACUGCCGUUGAUACUAUAUAUCUUGAAUAUCGCGUAGGUAAGCGGAAUAUGUCAUGUAGCGGUGAAAUGCUUAGAUAUGACAUAGAACACCAAUUGCGAAGGCAGCUUACUUCACGAUUAUUGACACUGAGGCACGAAAGCGUGGGGAGCAAACCGG